This 585-nucleotide ribosomal RNA is filed under the name Stenocarpella maydis. RNAcentral's name for it is "eukaryotic LSU rRNA". It matches the Rfam family "Eukaryotic large subunit ribosomal RNA", at positions 1 to 597 of the family's 3401-position model. The record is from RNAcentral. Lineage: Eukaryota; Fungi; Ascomycota; Sordariomycetes; Diaporthales; Diaporthaceae.
UUGACCUCGGAUCAGGUAGGAAUACCCGCUGAACUUAAGCAUAUCAAUAAGCGGAGGAAAAGAAACCAACAGGGAUUGCCCUAGUAACGGCGAGUGAAGCGGCAACAGCUCAAAUUUGAAAUCUGGCCUCGGCCCGAGUUGUAAUUUGCAGAGGAUGCUUCUGGCGCGGUGCCUUCCGAGUUCCCUGGAACGGGACGCCACAGAGGGUGAGAGCCCCGUAUGGUCGGACACCAAGCCUGUGUGAAGCUCCUUCGACGAGUCGAGUAGUUUGGGAAUGCUGCUCUAAAUGGGAGGUAAAUCUCUUCUAAAGCUAAAUACCGGCCAGAGACCGAUAGCGCACAAGUAGAGUGAUCGAAAGAUGAAAAGCACCUUGAAAAGGGGGUUAAAUAGUACGUGAAAUUGUUGAAAGGGAAGCACUUGUGACCAGACUUGGGCCGGGCGGCUCAUCAGGGGUUCUCCCCUGUGCACUCCGCCCGGCACAGGCCAGCAUCGGUUUUCGCGGGGGGACAAGACCGCCGGGAACGUAGCACCCUCCGGGGUGUGUUAUAGCCCGGCGGACGAUACCCCCGCGGGGACCGAGUCCGC